RNAcentral lists this ribosomal RNA (810 nucleotides) under uncultured archaeon. RNAcentral's name for it is "bacterial SSU rRNA". It matches the Rfam family "Archaeal small subunit ribosomal RNA", at positions 85 to 879 of the family's 1478-position model. The record is from RNAcentral.
ACUGCUCAGUAACACGUGGCUAAUCUGCCCUUAGGACGAGAACAACCCCGGGAAACUGGGGCUAAUUCUCGAUAGGCGAAGAACUCUGGAAUGAGUCUUCACCCAAUAGAGCCUGCGUUAUCCUCGUAGGUUUCGCCUAAGGAUGAGGCCGCGACCGAUCAGGUUGUUGGUGAGGUAAUGGCUCACCAAGCCUUUUACCGGUGCGGGCCGUGGGAGCGGGAGCCCGGAGAUGGGCACUGAGACAAGGGCCCAGGCCCUACGGGGCGCAGCAGUCGCGAAAACUUUGCAAUAAGCGAAAGCUUGACAGGGCUAUCCCGAGUGCCAUCCGCUGAGGAAGGCUUUUACCCAGUCUAGAACGCUGGGGGAAUAAGGAGAGGGCAAGUCUGGUGUCAGCCGCCGCGGUAAUACCAGCUCUCCGAGUGGUGUGGAUGUUUAUUGGGCCUAAAGCAUCCGUAGCUGGCUAAGUUAGUCCCUUGUUAAAUCCACCGAAUUAAUCGUUGGAUUGCGGGGGAUACUGCUUGGCUAGGGGACGAGAGAGGCAGACGGUAUUUUCGGGGUAGGGGUGAAAUCCUAUAAUCCCGGGAAGACCACCAGUGGCGAAGGCUGUCUGCUAGAACGCGCCCGACGGUGAGGGAUGAAAGCUGGGGGAGCGAACCGGAUUAGAUACCCGGGUAGUCCCAGCUGUAAACGAUGCAGGCUAGGUGUUUGGACGGCCACGUGCCGUUCUAGUGCCGCAGGGAAGCUGUUAAGCCUGCCGCCUGGGGAGUACGAUCGCAAGAUUGAAACUUAAAGGAAUUGGCGGGGGAGCAC